UACAGAGGUCUCAAGCGUUGUUCGGAAUCACUGGGCGUAAAGGGUGCGUAGGCCGCACGGUAAGUCAGAUGUGAAAUCUCAGGGCUCAACUCUGAAAUUGCAUCCGAUACUGCCGUGCUUGAGGACUGGAGAGGAGUCUGGAAUUCAUGGUGGAGCAGUGAAAUGCGUAGAUAUCAUGAGGAACGCUUGUGGCGUAGGCGAGACUCUGGACAGUUCCUGACGCUGAGGCACGAAGGCCAGGGGAGCAAACGGG
This 253-nucleotide ribosomal RNA is filed under the name uncultured bacterium. RNAcentral describes it as "partial 16S ribosomal RNA". It matches the Rfam family "Bacterial small subunit ribosomal RNA", at positions 524 to 776 of the family's 1533-position model. The record is from RNAcentral.